ACUAAUUUGGCAGAAAAAUUGUAUCAAAUUUAGAAUUUGAAAAUGGGUUACCAAUUAGUA
Molecule: transfer RNA, 60 nt
Filed under: Ixodes ricinus (castor bean tick)
Lineage: Eukaryota; Metazoa; Arthropoda; Arachnida; Ixodida; Ixodidae
Description: tRNA-Leu
Source: RNAcentral